UAUACAGUUGUGAAACCUCCACUCAAGGAAAGGCUCAGGGAACACGAUUCCAAACAUCCACACUUAACUAAGCGCUCAUCAAAACUCCUUCUUGAAUUUAGAGAUCUAAUUUCUCUAAUGGCCAAAUCACUUCUGUGUCUUAGAAAGUGCUUUCUACUGAGCUCAAUCAACUAAUAGCCUGGGACUGGCUUCACACCCUUUCUAUGCAGCAAUGUUCACAUGAAAGUAUGGACCCAAUCGAGGAUGAAGUCCAGAACCGGUCCUCAUCGUGCCUCACCUGAGCUAUUGUGACAGCUUCUCUCUAACCUGGUGACUUCCAGGACCUCAUCCUUAAUAUAGUUGUGAUGACAAGAUGAUGUCAUCCGUGACCUAACAGACCGCACUGUGUCAGGAUUCAGCUAUGUCUGGUGCAGCUGGACUAGGUCCCAGUCUGGGUCUCAUAAGGAAGGAUCGACUUGUGUGUGGCCUCCAAUGCAGUUUCACUUGUCUUCAAAGCCCUCUGCAGAAUACUGCCUCUUGGAAAUGGACGAGCAGCCCAAAGUGGUGCAAGGCGGUGACCUUCGCGCCUGGUCCGGCGUGCGGGAGCUCCGGGGACCGGGCGGCGACGACCAUUGGAGAGCGGGGUCCAGCUGCUGGCGGACGCUCGGUGGAAGGUGUCGCGGGACAGCCGCCUGGACGCCUUUGGAGAGGGCCGGCGAGGCGCCGGGCGUGUGGAGCAGGGGGGCACUGUCGAAGCCUGCCUCUCUCGGUGGGCGGCAGCCCCCCGGAUCACUUCCCUCAGAUGUCCCCAGGCCCUGUCCCUGGGCGCAAAGGGCGCGCAGCCCGGGGCAGCCCCUCAUCACCACGCCCAGCGAUGGGAAGGUGUGAACGUCGUCUGUGCAACGGAAACAGUUCCAUCUGGCCCGCGCAGAACCAGAGCUUCUGGCUGGAACUCCGGCCUUCAAUCCGUGUCCCCACUUUUGGGGAAAAAUGGUCACUCCUGGAGCAGAGGGGACGGGACAGGAGAGGGGAGACCGAGAAAUCUGCCCCUCUAAAUGUUCGGGUGCGGAGCCUUCGGGGUGAUUCUCAGCAUCACUCACCACGUCGCGCAACUCGCUUCCCUCACCCCCCGCUGCCCUCUCUGUCUUUGGGGGCUCCUAUCCCCUCCCCUGAACUCUCACGGCCCAGGUCAGCCCCCACCUUCCGGAACGCCGGACCUGGACCUGGAAGCCAAGCAGGGGUUGAGGGCGACCCCUCGGCACAGAGGUCUAACGACAGACAGGGUCGGGGGACUGCGGCCCCAAGUGGGCCGCGCCCUGGUGGAAACUUCUGCAGGAAGUGGCCUGACGCUUUCUACCUUACCUGGCACAACCGCCAGAUGCUCGCUUCACAGCAGUAAACAACUUAAAAAAAAAAAAAUUAAAAAAAAAAAAAUUCGGCGACCCCUCUGGACACAGCUUUCCCUUCAGUCGUUUGCUCACCUCAAAAUAGUGCUCAGGAGGAAGAAAGCCUGUUCCUGCCUCCACCCCAGAACAACCGGGAGAGGGGAAUAAUCCAUUUGAAUUUGCAUGAUGAAAUAUUCAAGCUGACUCUACAUAACCUUUCUAAUAGACUUUUUCUUUCAAAUAUGCAUGUGCGUUUAAAUGCCUAAAAGACCAAUCAAAUAAAGAACAUGUUGACCUCUCUGGGUUGAGGCCCAGUUUGAGUCAGAUUAUAUAACCCAGCAGCAUCAGGAACUCCCCAGCAAUGUGGCUCUCAGCUGCCUGAAAAAAUG
RNAcentral lists this long non-coding RNA (1753 nucleotides) under Rhinopithecus bieti (black snub-nosed monkey). RNAcentral describes it as "lncRNA (ENSRBIG00000045518.1)". The record is from RNAcentral. Lineage: Eukaryota; Metazoa; Chordata; Mammalia; Primates; Cercopithecidae.